Molecule: ribosomal RNA, 377 nt
Filed under: uncultured bacterium
Lineage: Bacteria
Description: bacterial SSU rRNA
Rfam family: Bacterial small subunit ribosomal RNA
Source: RNAcentral
UAAUACGUAGGGGGCAAGCGUUGUCCGGAAUCAUUGGGCGUAAAGCGCGUGUAGGCGGCUCGAUAAGUCUGCUGUGAAAGUCCAGGGCUCAACCCUGGGAUGCCGGUGGAUACUGUCGGGCUCGAGUCCGGAAGAGGCGAGUGGAAUUCCUGGUGUAGCGGUGAAAUGCGCAGAUAUCAGGAGGAACACCAAUGGCGAAGGCAGCUCGCUGGGACGUGACUGACGCUGAGACGCGAAAGCGUGGGGAGCAAACAGGAUUAGAUACCCUGGUAGUCCACGCCGUAAACGAUGGGCACUAGGUGUGGGAGGUGUCGACUCCUCCCGUGCCGAAGCUAACGCAUUAAGUGCCCCGCCUGGGGAGUACGGCCGCAAGGCUA